CACCUAAGUUAAAGUAGGUGAAGUGGGAAAGCAGCAUGUCUGAGGAUAUAUAUGCCAAGCCAGACUUCACCAAAAAGGUUAGAUUUCAGACAGGUGUGAAGGAGGACAAAAACGCAGACGUCUGUGUUGACAUUGAUAAUGUGAGGAUUUAUGACAAUUACUGGGCAGAGGAGAGUACGCCACAGGACAAAUCACAGGACAACAGGACUGAGGACCAACAGCAAACCGAUUCAGUCAAUGUGAGUUCAGAGAAGAGGAAUUAUCUCAGAGUUGCUGCAUCGCUUCUGGGGCUGCUGUGUCUUCUGCUCCUGGUGGCUGUCAUUGUCCUGGUGGUCCUAUGCAAGUUUUCGAAAUGAAAAGCCUCAACCACAACCUGACCCAAAAGACGGGCCAGUUAGAAAAGGAGAAAGACAAUUUUAAUGCCAGGAACAAGAACCUCAUGAGAGAGAGAGAUGAAUUACAAAAACAGAUUGGUACUGGAAAAGCAGACAGCCGGGUGAUGGUGGUCCUCGUGGUAAUAGAGAAGAAUAUGCUCACAUUUCCAACAUAAAUACUUUAAAUAACUGGAAUUAUUUGAGAUGCAGUGAUGAAUUAUACUUUAUCUGUGAGAAUAAAAAACUUCAAUAAAGUCUGAUUAUUAUAUGCUCUUGGACUGAUUCCACAGCUGUUCUGCUCUCACACAUUUUAUGUAAACUAAGUCCUGAGUUCAUAUCAGUAAUAUUAUAUCCAUUGAUUUUGUGUCUGUGAUGUAGUAACAAAAAACCUCCAAAUAAAUACAUUUGAAUGACCUUAUUAAUUGUAUGACUGAGUGAUUUACAUAUCAUAAUAUGGCUAUCGAGAUU
Long non-coding RNA from Sander lucioperca (pikeperch), 842 nucleotides. RefSeq lists it as uncharacterized. The transcript is spliced from 3 exons. NCBI's taxonomy places the organism in Eukaryota, Metazoa, Chordata, Actinopteri, Perciformes, Percidae. The record is from RefSeq and is a predicted model, not a curated record.